CCGAGUUGUAAUUUGUAGAGGAUGCUUUUGGUGAGGUGCCGCCCGAGUUCCCUGGAACGGGACGCCACAGAGGGUGAGAGCCCCGUCUGGCUGGCCACCGAGCCUCUGUAAAGCUCCUUCGACGAGUCGAGUAGUUUGGGAAUGCUGCUCAAAAUGGGAGGUAUAUGUCUUCUAAAGCUAAAUAUUGGCCAGAGACCGAUAGCGCACAAGUAGAGUGAUCGAAAGAUGAAAAGCACCUUGAAAAGAGGGUUAAAUAGUACGUGAAAUUGUUGAAAGGGAAGCGCUUGUGACCAGACUUGGGCGCGGCGGAUCAUCCGGGGUUCUCUCCGGUGCACUUCGCCGCGUCUAGGCCAGCAUCAGUUCGUCGCGGGGGAAAAAGGCUUCGGGAACGUGGCUCCUCCGGGAGUGUUAUAGCCCGUUGCAUAAUACCCUGCGGUGGACUGAGGACCGCGCAUCUGCAAGGAUGC
This 467-nucleotide ribosomal RNA is filed under the name Trichoderma virens. Its description in RNAcentral is "partial large subunit ribosomal RNA". It matches the Rfam family "Eukaryotic large subunit ribosomal RNA", at positions 138 to 626 of the family's 3401-position model. Lineage: Eukaryota; Fungi; Ascomycota; Sordariomycetes; Hypocreales; Hypocreaceae. The record is from RNAcentral.